UUGCAGAAGCUUGUCGGCAUCACUGCAGGGCUAUGCAUUUUGAUCAAGCACAAGGAGGAGAAGGGUGGGAAUUGUUAUGAGGCCAUUUUCAGCUUCUAAUUUGGGGAUUAAGGCCGCAUCACCGUUCAGGGGCCCUACCUCACCUACAAUGAGUAUUAUCUCACCAUUACCGGCGAUUCCGACAUUUUUGAAGGGGUUACCGGGCAUGUGAAGCUCCCACAGCUCGUCUAUCCAUUUAAUAUGAGAGUUUUGAGUGUGGAUGCGGAUUCGACUGCGUGAAUUCACUCAAAUCUGAAACUACCCCUUGAUGCCAGGCUCAAUCUCAAAUUCGCUCAAAUUUGAAACUACCCCCCCGCUGCCAAGCUCAAUCUCUAUUCGCUCAAAUCUGAAACAUACUCUGGCAACUAGUUAAACGCCGGGGUGACGCCGAGGUUCCGCCAAUACACGCCGAUGUACGACCCGCAGUAGUGUAGCAUUAGCCUCAGCGACUCCCCUGCCUUGGGAUAAUACAAGCAGUAGGAGUUGCCACCGCGUAGGGUGGAGGGGCACUCCGGCAAGUGGCAACACAGGACGCCGGCUUCUGCUCCAUGAUCACCUUCUUGCUGCUGAAGUGGGUGCUCGUCAAAAUCCUCGUCGCCCUCAUCAUAAUCCAUCUUUGAAAUAGAUUCUUUACUAUUUAGCUUUUAUCUUCCUGUUUAACUAUCUGUAAAUAAUAUCAAGCUUAUACGCCAGUAAUCUCUUUCUUUAUUUGCUUAUUUCUAAAAUUUCUGCUUGUGGUUAAAGAUUGGGGGUUGUGAAUUGGGUUAGGAUUGUGUGAUAAUGGAUGCCUUCUGAUGGGUUUUGCAUAAAGCUUGAAUCUUUGUUGUGGGGGGAGCUUUUCGUCUUACAAGAAUACCUUGUGUGUGCCUGUGGGGGUUUAAUCCUAGAAUUGGCCUAAAUUUUGAAUAAUCUGUUGAGCAAUAGAAAAAUUAGCCAAGUUGGUUGAUUUUUGCUUGUUGUCUUUUAGUUGAAGCAAGGGAUUCAAACAAUGGAUCAGAGUGUUUUCUAGCAUAAAUUAGGUCUAUAAAGCUCAAAGAUUUGGGUGUUGUGAGCAAUAUUCUGUGAAGAUGGUGGAAUCAAUUGCUGCUACUUCUCUUUUGAGGCACCUUUCAGUUUAUGGAGGGUUUAAAUGCAAGGAUGGUCCAAACAGAAGGAGGAAAUUCGAUAUAUGCUGCCUGCCAUCUUCAGAGUUUCUUGGUCGAAAACUUGUCUGCGACAUCCGAAGAAUGAGGGAAAAUCACCUUUUUGCCGGCGACAUCAGAAUCACCUUUUUGCCGGCGACAUCAGAAGAAAGAGCAGGCGAUAUCAGAAGUUCUUUGCCGGCGACGUGAGGUGAUAAUAGUCUUUUAAUUUCUGGAGUAAAAUGAAUUGUUUUUGAUAGAUAAUAUAUGAAAAGACUAUUAUGCCCUUACAUUUCACGGUUGAGACAGAAAUUUUUAACGGAAGGACUACGGUAGGUCAAUUUUGAAACUCGGAGGAUCACGGAGGGUCGAUUUGAAAGUUUAGGACUAUAGGUCGCGAAACCACUAAACUCGGAGGACAUUGGCUGAAUUAACAUGGUCGGAUGGAUGCAAUGUUGAUGUGAAUAAAUCAACUUACCAAUAACCUCCCCACACCUAAUUGUAUAUUUCUGAGCAUUGUAUGGUGCGUUUAUGUAUACCAAUGGUACGUUUUUUGUGAUGCGUACCUAAUGGUGCA
Molecule: long non-coding RNA, 1737 nt
Organism: Ipomoea triloba (trilobed morning glory)
Lineage: Eukaryota; Viridiplantae; Streptophyta; Magnoliopsida; Solanales; Convolvulaceae
Exons: 2
Source: RefSeq, a predicted model, not a curated record